UGAAACAACGAAUUGCUGUGUGUAGUCUUUGCCCAUCUCCCACGAUGGGCUUUUUUUUAA
Molecule: antisense RNA, 60 nt
Filed under: Escherichia coli
Lineage: Bacteria; Pseudomonadati; Pseudomonadota; Gammaproteobacteria; Enterobacterales; Enterobacteriaceae
Also listed under: 1 other name
Description: partial antisense sRNA RprA
Rfam family: RprA RNA
About the family: Translational regulation of the stationary phase sigma factor RpoS is mediated by the formation of a double-stranded RNA stem-loop structure in the upstream region of the rpoS messenger RNA, occluding the translation initiation site. Clones carrying rprA (RpoS regulator RNA A) increased the translation of RpoS. The rprA gene encodes a 106 nucleotide regulatory RNA.
Source: RNAcentral